CUUACACAUGCAAGUCGAGGGGAAACGACAUUGAAGCUUGCUUCGAUGGGCGUCGACCGGCGCACGGGUGAGUAACGCGUAUCCAACCUGCCUCUGACUAAGGGAUAACCCGGCGAAAGUCGGACUAAUACCUUAUGAGGUUUUCUGCAGACAUCUAAUGGAAACGAAAGAUUUAUCGGUCAGCGAUGGGGAUGCGUCUGAUUAGCUUGUUGGCGGGGUAACGGCCCACCAAGGCAACGAUCAGUAGGGGUUCUGAGAGGAAGGUCCCCCACAUUGGAACUGAGACACGGUCCAAACUCCUACGGGAGGCAGCAGUGAGGAAUAUUGGUCAAUGGGCGAGAGCCUGAACCAGCCAAGUAGCGUGCAGGAUGACGGCCCUAUGGGUUGUAAACUGCUUUUAUGUGGGGAUAAAGUGAGCUACGUGUAGUUUAUUGCAGGUACCACAUGAAUAAGGACCGGCUAAUUCCGUGCCAGCAGCCGCGGUAAUACGGAAGGUCCAGGCGUUAUCCGGAUUUAUUGGGUUUAAAGGGAGCGUAGGCCGUGGAUUAAGCGUGUUGUGAAAUGUAGACGCUCAACGUCUGAAUUGCAGCGCGAACUGGUUCACUUGAGUAUGCACAACCGUAGGCGGAAUUCGUCGUGUAGCGGUGAAAUGCUUAGAUAUGACGAAGAACUCCGAUUGCGAAGGCAGCUUACGGGAGCACAACUGACGCUGAAGCUCGAAGGUGCGGGUAUCAAAUCAGGAUUAGAUACCCUGGUAGUCCGCACAGUAAACGAUGGAUGCCCGUUGUUAGUUCACCUAAGAAUUAGCGACCAAGCGAAAGCAUUAAGCAUCCCACCUGGGGAGUACGCCGGCAACGGU
This 859-nucleotide ribosomal RNA is filed under the name uncultured Bacteroidota bacterium. Its description in RNAcentral is "bacterial SSU rRNA". It matches the Rfam family "Bacterial small subunit ribosomal RNA", at positions 48 to 895 of the family's 1533-position model. The record is from RNAcentral. Lineage: Bacteria; Pseudomonadati; Bacteroidota.